UAACGCGAAGAACCUUACCUGGGCUUGACAUGUGGAUGACCGGCCUGGAAACAGGUCUUCCCUUCGGGGCAUCUUCACAGGUGGUGCAUGGCUGUCGUCAGCUCGUGUCGUGAGAUGUUGGGUUAAGUCCCGCAACGAGCGCAACCCCCGUCGUAUGUUGCCAGCAUUUAGUUGGGGACUCAUGCGAGACUGCCGGUGACAAACCGGAGGAAGGUGGGGAUGACGUCAAGUCAUCAUGCCCCUUAUGUUCAGGGCUACACACGUGCUACAUUGGCGCGUACAGAGGGCUGCGAUGCCGCGAGGCGGAGCGAAUCCCUUAAAGCGCGUCUCGGUUCGGAUUGCAGGCUGAAACCCGCCUGCAUGAAGGCGGAGUUGCUAGUAAUCGCGGAUCAGCACUGCCGCGGUGAAUACGUUCCCGGGUCUUGUACAC
This 430-nucleotide ribosomal RNA is filed under the name uncultured bacterium. RNAcentral's name for it is "bacterial SSU rRNA". It matches the Rfam family "Bacterial small subunit ribosomal RNA", at positions 957 to 1388 of the family's 1533-position model. The record is from RNAcentral.